RNAcentral lists this long non-coding RNA (761 nucleotides) under Cyanistes caeruleus (blue tit). Its description in RNAcentral is "lncRNA (ENSCCEG00000000759.1)". The record is from RNAcentral. Lineage: Eukaryota; Metazoa; Chordata; Aves; Passeriformes; Paridae.
CCAUCUUGCAAAGUGAAUGAAGGGAGAUGAGCCUUUCUCACUAUUCCUCACUUCUGAUGAUGCAGUACAAGGCUAUCUAGGAACCUCCAGGCUGGUUCCUGUGUACUCUGCAUGAUGACCAAGGCUUGUGCUUUCAAUAGGAGGAGCAUGCAUAAAGGAAUCCAUGUGAUACCAGCACAGUCCCAGGCAGUGAUGUGGAGAGGCACAUCUGUGCUCCAGGCCAUCCUCACCUCUCGCUUACUGAAUUUGGGGCUGGGAAAACAGAUGGAAAAGAGCUCCCCUCUCCAUCACUGUGCAGAGGAGACAGGGACAGCAAUACAGGUUAUCUAUGUUCACUUUUCUGCUGAGAACUCCCUUCUUCCAAACUCUUCUGGGACUGUAGAGGGAUCAGCAACACUGCUGUCAAAAAUGUUUUAUAGGGAAAAGAUACUGGAGGCCUUCCACUUAAGCAGCAUCACUUUCCAAGCACUCACUAAGUUCAGGAACAGGUUGUCCAAACUGUUCUGCAGAGGAGAGGGGGUAGAGACCAACCCUGCAACCACACAACUGAGUUGAAAUUCCAGGGAAGGGCUCCCGUGAGGUUGGCCAAUCUCAAGACCCUCUAAUCAGUUAUCAGUGUGGGAGGUGUGAGCACCACAGAUUUUAACACAGUGAGGCCAGGCAGAUGGGUGCCCACACAGAAGCUGUGGAUAUGGGGGUAAUCUUAAGAAGAAACAAGACCCUUUAAUAAAUCCUGCCAUAUUUCAGACCUCUGCUUUACA